CCCUUAGACGUUCUGGGCCGCACGCGCGCUACACUGACGGAGCCAGCGAGUAUAAACCUUGGCCGAGAGGUCUGGGAAAUCUUGUGAAACUCCGUCGUGCUGGGGAUAGAGCGUUGUAAUUAUUGCUCUUCAACGAGGAAUUCCUAGUAAGCGCAAGUCAUCAGCUUGCGUUGAUUACGUCCCUGCCCUUUGUACACACCGCCCGUCGCUACUACCGAUUGAAUGGCUUAGUGAGGCUUCCGGAUUGGUUUAGAGAAGGGGGCAACUCCAUCUUGGAACCGAGAAGCUAGUCAAACUUGGUCAUUUAGAGGAAGUAAAAGUCGUAACA
This 328-nucleotide ribosomal RNA is filed under the name uncultured eukaryote. RNAcentral's name for it is "partial 18S ribosomal RNA". It matches the Rfam family "Eukaryotic small subunit ribosomal RNA", at positions 1470 to 1796 of the family's 1831-position model. The record is from RNAcentral.